RNAcentral lists this long non-coding RNA (332 nucleotides) under Pan troglodytes (chimpanzee). Its description in RNAcentral is "long non-coding RNA NONPTRT006061". Lineage: Eukaryota; Metazoa; Chordata; Mammalia; Primates; Hominidae. The record is from RNAcentral.
GGAAGGGCAAGAAUUUGGAGCUGGGUAGAGGGAAAGCUCAUGACCUGUUCACAGGCUCUAGGACUUACAACUCUGCUUCUAUGUGUAAUCUGGACACUUGCUUUGGGACGGGCAAUACUUGGUGUUUGCAAAAAAGGAGUGGGGCCAGGCAUGGUGGCUCAUGCCUAUAAUCCUAGCACUUUGGAAGGACAAAGUGGGCAGAUUGCCUGAGCUCAGGAGUUCGAGAGGUGGUUUGUCUCUUUGUGGGUCUGUCUCCCAAACAGGAAAAGGCACAAUGAGGGCAGAGACUGUGACUUUUUAAUCUCUGUGUUUCUAAUGCCCAAGAUAAGGCC